GACGAACCGAGCGAACGUUGUUCGGAAUCACUGGGCUUAAAGGGCGCGUAGGCGGGCUGCCAAGUUCGGGGUGAAAUCCUCCCGCUCAACGGGAGAACUGCCCCGAAUACUGGCGGUCUCGAGGAAGGUAGGGGCGUGCGGAACUAUGGGUGGAGCGGUGAAAUGCGUUGAUAUCCAUAGGAACUCCGGUGGCGAAGGCGGCACGCUGGACCUUUUCUGACGCUGAGGCGCGAAAGCCAGGGGAGCAAACGGG
RNAcentral lists this ribosomal RNA (253 nucleotides) under uncultured Zavarzinella sp. RNAcentral's name for it is "partial 16S ribosomal RNA". It matches the Rfam family "Bacterial small subunit ribosomal RNA", at positions 524 to 776 of the family's 1533-position model. The record is from RNAcentral. Lineage: Bacteria; Pseudomonadati; Planctomycetota; Planctomycetia; Gemmatales; Gemmataceae.